UCAAAAACAAAAGGAUAUUCCUUCCUGCUCUCACUGGUUAUAUGAACGCAAGCAAAGGAGUGACCUAUUUGCAAGAGAUUUCUCUUUUUCCUUAAGUUGGCUCAAGGGAAAGUUUCAGGUUUACCAGAAUCAUUGUGAAGGCAGGGAAUAAACGAUACUAUGCUUGAUACUCUUGGCGGUACUAGGCAAAGGCGCAAUAAAGGUGAUGAAAUCAAAAAGCCUCCCGUUCGGGCGAAAGACCCCGGGGCUGCCAGACAGGCAGAAUCAAACGAGGCCGCCGCUUCCUUUGCCGCCAUCUCGCUUCUCAGUAGUAACCUUGCCCAAUUAAAGAAUGACAUCUUCGGUUCUUUGCCUAACAAUGAUCAGAAGUACAUCACCUUGAAAUUUGCCACAAUUUCAAUGCUGUUGAUAUCGGUUGUCAGCCAGAUAGUUAUUUUGAUCAUUAAGUAUAAAAUGAGAUCACUACAGGUUUUCGUCCAGGCGGUUGAAGAUAUCGAGUAUGAUGAUGACGA
Long non-coding RNA from Lineus longissimus, 512 nucleotides. RefSeq lists it as uncharacterized. The record is from RefSeq and is a predicted model, not a curated record. The transcript is spliced from 4 exons. Lineage: Eukaryota; Metazoa; Nemertea; Pilidiophora; Heteronemertea; Lineidae.